GCGGCAUGCCUUACACAUGCAAGUCGAACGCGAAUUUGUCUUCGGACAUUAGUAGAGUGGCAAACGGGUGAGUAACGCGUGGGAAUAUACCUUAUAGUACGGAAUAGCCUCGGGAAACUGGGAUUAAUACCGUAUACGCCCUUCGGGGGAAAGAUUUAUCGCUAUAAGAUUAGCCCGCGUCAGAUUAGCUAGUUGGUGGGGUAACGGCCUACCAAGGCAACGAUCUGUAACUGGUCUGAGAGGACGAUCAGCCACAUUGGGACUGAGACACGGCCCAAACUCCUACGGGAGGCAGCAGUGGGGAAUAUUGGACAAUGGACGCAAGUCUGAUCCAGCAAUGCCGCGUGAAUGAUGAAGGCCUUAGGGUUGUAAAGUUCUUUAAGUAGGGAAGAUAAUGACGGUACCUACAGAAUAAGCACCGGCUAACUUCGUGCCAGCAGCCGCCGUAA
Molecule: ribosomal RNA, 449 nt
Filed under: uncultured bacterium
Lineage: Bacteria
Description: partial 16S ribosomal RNA
Rfam family: Bacterial small subunit ribosomal RNA
Source: RNAcentral